Long non-coding RNA from Gopherus flavomarginatus (Mexican gopher tortoise), 698 nucleotides. RefSeq lists it as uncharacterized. Lineage: Eukaryota; Metazoa; Chordata; Testudines; Testudinidae. The transcript is spliced from 4 exons. The record is from RefSeq and is a predicted model, not a curated record.
GGGCACUGGCAGAGCUGGGGGGGAGCCCAGGGCUGGGUGAACAGGGGGCUGCAGGUCGGGAGUGAAGGGCACUGGCAGAGCUGGGGGGGACCCCAGUGCUGGGUGAACAGGGGGCUGCAGGUCGGGAGUGAAGGGCACUGGCAGAGCUGGGGGGAGCCCAGGGCUGGGAUAGAAGGGGGCUGUGGGUCAGUAGUGAUGGGCACUGGCAGAGCUGGGUGGGACCCCAGUGCUGGGUGAACAGGGGGCUGCAGGUCGGGAGUGAAGGGCACUGGCAGAGCUGGGGGGAGCCCAGGGCUGGGAUAGAAGGGGGCUGUGGGUCAGUAGUGAGGGGCACUGGCAGAGCUGGGGGGGACCCCAGUGCUGGGUGAACAGGGGGCUGCAGGUCGGGAGUGAGGGGCACUGGCAGAGCUGGGGGGGAGCCCAGGGCUGGGUGAACAGGGGGCUGCAGGUCGGGAGUGAGGGGCACUGGCAGAGCUGGGGGGGAGCCCAGGGCUGGGUGAACAGGGGGCUGCAGGUCGGGAGUGAAGGGCACUGGCAGAGCUGGGGGGGACCCCAGUGCUGGGUGAACAGGGGGCUGCAGGUCGGGAGUGAAGGGCACUGGCAGAGCUGGGGGGAGCCCAGGGCUGGGUGAGCAGGGGGCUGCGGGUUGGGGUUGACAGGCAUUGGCCAGCCCAGCACGGCCACUGCCCUCAGUCCCC